Molecule: ribosomal RNA, 119 nt
Filed under: Triticum aestivum (bread wheat)
Lineage: Eukaryota; Viridiplantae; Streptophyta; Magnoliopsida; Poales; Poaceae
Source: RNAcentral
GGAUGCGACCAUACCAGCACUAAAGCACCGAAUCCCAUUAGAACUCCGAAGUUAAGCGUGCUUGGGCGAGAGUAGUACUAGGAUGGGUGACCUCUUGGGAAGUCCUCGUGUUGCAUUCC